Leptinotarsa decemlineata (Colorado potato beetle) is the source of this 378-nucleotide long non-coding RNA. RefSeq lists it as uncharacterized. NCBI's taxonomy places the organism in Eukaryota, Metazoa, Arthropoda, Insecta, Coleoptera, Chrysomelidae. The record is from RefSeq and is a predicted model, not a curated record.
AAUUUUCUAAUUUUUCUGCAUAAAGUCUUAUUUCUAAUUAUUAAUUUUCAUUUUCAGAACAUGGAAAAUUAAGGCUAAGAUCAAUUUCGGAAAUACUAGCUGACUAUGAGGACAUUUUUUAAUGAGUGAAGUAAUUUGUAAAAACUCAGAAAGGCGAAUAACUACAUUCCAUCGUAACAAGUUAAAGAAAUCGAUCAUCCAAAAACAAGUAUUGGUUUUGUUCAACGAAUAUUUUAACUAUUGGAUUGUUUCAGAUCACUCGCCAUAACCUCAUUUAUACAUGAAAUAUCAAGAGGAAUGACAAAUAAAUAUUAGAAAUGUAUAUUCAAGAAAGUUAUUGGUUUGCGUUUAACGAAAUAAAAAGUAUGUAGUGACAAA